AUACGGAGGAUGCGAGCGUUAUCCGGAUUUAUUGGGUUUAAAGGGAGCGUAGGUGGACAGUUAAGUCAGUUGUGAAAGUUUGCGGCUUAACCGUAAAAUUGCAGUUGAAACUGGCAGUCUUGAGUACAGUAGAGGGGGGCGGAAUUCGUGGUGUAGCGGUGGAAUGCUUAGAUAUCACGAAGAACCCCGACUGCGAAGGCAGCUCACUAGACUGUUACUGACACUGAUGCUCGAAAGUGUGGGUAUCAAACAGGAUUAGAUACCCUGGUAGUCCACACAGUAAACGAUGAAUACUCGCUGUUUGCUAUAUACAGUAAGCGGCCAAGCGAAAGCAUUAAGUAUUCCACCUGGGGAGUACGCCGGCAACGGUGAAACUUAAAGGAAUUGACGGGG
Molecule: ribosomal RNA, 393 nt
Filed under: uncultured bacterium
Lineage: Bacteria
Description: partial 16S ribosomal RNA
Rfam family: Bacterial small subunit ribosomal RNA
Source: RNAcentral